This 2132-nucleotide unclassified non-coding RNA is filed under the name Bombus terrestris (buff-tailed bumblebee). RNAcentral's name for it is "misc RNA ENSBTSG00005031540.1". Lineage: Eukaryota; Metazoa; Arthropoda; Insecta; Hymenoptera; Apidae. The record is from RNAcentral.
UCGAUAUCUUCCAUUUCAUUUUAAAAUCGACGAGGUCGUCGCGUGAGUUUAAUUCGUUCGUUAUUCCGGGAAUUAUCGUACGUUUAGAUAAAACUACUAAUUCUCCUUUGAAUUCUUUUAAUUUUUUGUUUAUAUUUUAUCAUAUCUUCUCUUCAGAGAAUGUUUUGCUAAUUGGAUAGUCAACGACUUAUGAAAUGUAAGAAGAAUGUGAAAUGAAAAUAGAAAAAGACAACUAGGUUGUAUAAAUUGCAGCACCCUGAUUCGGUUCCGUCGGAAAGACCAGAUCGCCCAGCUUGAACUCGUCUUUUAUCUCACAUCGGCCGAUCUCCUCUUUCAGCUUAUCCACAAAUUGAGAAACCUUGUUUUUCGUUGUGAUGGCCACUAUGCAACCACCCCACCUCCAGCUCCCGUGAGUCUUGCUCCGAAUGCAUCGCAUGCCAUAGCUUUGUCGACGAGCGAGUCAACGUUGGGAUGGCUGCACUCGUAUAGUUUGCGCAGACUGGCGUGGCUGUUGGACAUUAGGUUGCCUAGCUGUCGUAGCUUCUCGUCUUCUGUAAUGGCACUUUCCUCGCUGAUACGCUGGAAUUUGACCACUCUGGCUGCCUCUAAAAUGCGUACGAAAUCAUAUGGUGGUUCAAUCGAUUGAAAUUUAAUAAUCGUGCCAAUAAUGAAUACAAGUGGAUGAUAGGCUGUGCAUGUGCAUUCGUAAUCGAGAGUACACGUUACUAGAGCGUGUUAUAUUGUGUGCUUCGUGAACAGAAGUUGUUUAGGGAAACAUAACGAGACUGGUGUGUCAUAUGGGCAUUGCUUCUAUUAUUAUAUUCGCGGUGAACGUAUGAAAUUCAAUCGUUCGAAAUAACACGAUAAAGAGCAACACCAUUAUUCAUACGAGAAUAACGAGCGACGUAACGAGUCUAAUUCCAGUGAAAAUACACUGGAAUUUUCAUGGAAAUUUUCUACUGGAAGCUAGACGACUUAAUUUUUGACUUAAUUUUAGUCAUUCGAUUUAGUACGGUAUGAUGUUUCGUGAUAUUUGGUUUUGUUUUUGAUUGUGCUUUCUAUCUGUUUGUUUGUUGGUAUUCAAAAAGAAAUUUGCCCCCCGGCUAGCGACAGCUAACUUUGAUCGUUGGAUGAGCGAAAUCUGUGGGCAAAAAAUCUGGACAGAUACUGCGAAAGGUUUUCCGCGUGGUUUUCGUUGGGUUUCCAGGCCAAUAAAUUCUAUGGCUUGAGCCGAAUACGGUUGGUUGCAAAUAAAUGGCGGUCAAAAUCGAUAAACUGUCGUUGUGAAAAUUUAUCGCUUCAGGAAGAAAUGCAUACGAGUGAUACUGUUUCUCCCAGCUGGACUAACAAUUUUUUGAUCCCUUGUGGUUCUCGUUCGAAUGAAAUAAGAGGAUGUAAUUUGAAAAUAUAUAGAAAUAUCACACAAAAAUUGGAAUAGCUGAAAAGAGCACUCACCUGGCUUAUAUGCACAGUCACAAGAACAGCGGCAGAAACUAGCGCGCUAGAGCUCGAGAGCCCUGAAUUAGGAGGAAUGUUACCCCAAACUGCAGCCAAGAUUCCCGAAGGUGCGCAUUCCUCUGGGAUCACUUCAAGAGCUCCUUUCACACCGCAGAGGAAAUAUUUGUACCAGUCUGGACCACUGCCGGCGUCCUUGAUGCAAACACUACGCAGGAAAUGUGAAUUUAUUUCUCUUUUCGCAGUUAUCUUAUAGCUUCACCCAUUUUUAAGGUAUUUUCUUCUUUGGAUAAAUUAGAUAAAAAAUGCUGCAGUAUAAAAAACAUGGAAAGUUUUUUUUACAAAAUCAAUAUUAAAAAAUUUAUAUCGGAAACCUUACAAAUAACAAAUAAAAUAUAUUUAAAACAUUGUUGCUUAAUAAUAUUUCGUGCCAGAUUUUUUAAUGUUAAUUUUACCGUAAUAAUUCUCUACUGCAGGAUGAAAUACGUUUAGAUAUUUUCCCGAUGCUCUUUACUGCCACUUUUGCGCUGCCAAAUUUUACAUUUAUUUUUUCGCGAGGAUUAGUUCCCUUUACAACAUUGUUUGCAAAUCUCACGGAUUUCUGCAUAUAUAUUUCCAUGACAUAUUCAUAAAGGUUGAAAAAGAUAAUAAAGGGUAACAAAAUCUGCACCAUAAAA